This 83-nucleotide transfer RNA is filed under the name Streptomyces chryseus. Its description in RNAcentral is "tRNA-Tyr". It matches the Rfam family "tRNA". From Rfam's summary of the family: Transfer RNA (tRNA) molecules are approximately 80 nucleotides in length. Their secondary structure includes four short double-helical elements and three loops (D, anti-codon, and T loops). Further hydrogen bonds mediate the characteristic L-shaped molecular structure. tRNAs have two regions of fundamental functional importance: the anti-codon, which is responsible for specific mRNA codon recognition, and the 3' end, to which the tRNAs corresponding amino acid is attached (by aminoacyl-tRNA synthetases). tRNAs cope with the degeneracy of the genetic code in two manners: having more than one tRNA (with a specific anti-codon) for a particular amino acid; and 'wobble' base-pairing, i.e. permitting non-standard base-pairing at the 3rd anti-codon position. Lineage: Bacteria; Bacillati; Actinomycetota; Actinomycetes; Kitasatosporales; Streptomycetaceae. RNAcentral also lists the same sequence under 4 other names. The record is from RNAcentral.
GGCGGUGUGCCCGAGUGGCCAAUGGGAGCGGACUGUAAAUCCGCCGGCUUAGCCUUCCCAGGUUCGAAUCCUGGCGCCGCCAC